UGAGGAAUAUUGCUCAAUGGGCGAAAGCCUGAAGCAGCGACGCCGCGUGGGUGAAGAAGGUCUUCGGAUCGUAAAGCCCUUUUCUGUGUGACGAGGAAGGACGGUAGCACAGGAAUAAGUGUCGGCUAACUACGUGCCAGCAGCCGCGGUAAAACGUAGGACGCAAGCGUUAUCCGGGAUUACUGGGCGUAAAGCGCGUGUAGGUGGUUGCGUAAGUCACUUGUGAAAGCCCAUGGCUAAACUGUGGGAGGUCAGGUGAUACUGCGUAGCUAGAGGGUAGUAGAGGGGUGCGGAAUUCCGGGUGUAGUGGUGAAAUGCGUAGAUAUCCGGAGGAACACCAGAGGCGAAGGCGGCGCCCUGGACUAUACCUGACACUGAGACGCGAAAGCAUGGGUAGCGA
This 400-nucleotide ribosomal RNA is filed under the name uncultured bacterium. RNAcentral describes it as "bacterial SSU rRNA". It matches the Rfam family "Bacterial small subunit ribosomal RNA", at positions 355 to 771 of the family's 1533-position model. The record is from RNAcentral.